AAGGGAGGAAAACAUGGUUUUAUUGUGUGUUUAAGGCACAUGCUUAUUUCCUUGAAGAAUGNUGCACAUGGGACAAGAAGUCAACACANUUUGGUGGCUUAUUGAAGGUGGAAAUUAANGUUUGNCUUGUUGAAACAUGACUCAUGGCCAAGAGGUUUCCUUAGGCCAUUUGGACUUUUAAUUUAUUUGUUAAUUGCAUAUUGGGUCACUUAAUUUACUAGAAGUAAAAUAGGCAUGUUAAUUUCUCUUGUUUUCACUUAGUUUAAUUAGUAGGUUGAGUUAUCUUCAUGUGUUUGAGUU
Molecule: long non-coding RNA, 300 nt
Filed under: Vigna radiata
Lineage: Eukaryota; Viridiplantae; Streptophyta; Magnoliopsida; Fabales; Fabaceae
Description: long non-coding RNA (VRAD_LNC009886)
Source: RNAcentral